Molecule: ribosomal RNA, 272 nt
Filed under: uncultured bacterium
Lineage: Bacteria
Description: partial 16S ribosomal RNA
Rfam family: Bacterial small subunit ribosomal RNA
Source: RNAcentral
UACGUAGGGUGCGAGCGUUGUCCGGAAUUAUUGGGCGUAAAGGGCUCGUAGGCGGUUUGUCGCGUCGGGAGGUGAAAUCCACUGGCUUAACUGGUGGCUUGCUUUCGAUACGGGCAGACUUGGAGUACGUGCAGGGGAGACUGGAAUUCCUGGUGUAGCGGUGGAAUGCGCAGAGUAUCAGGAGGAACACCGGUGGGCGAAGGCGGGUCUCUGGGCAGUAACUGACGCUGGAGGAGCGAAAGCGUUGGGGAGCGAAACAGGAUUAGACUACC